AACGCACGAGACCUGCGGACCUGCGGAAGGAUCAUUACCGAGUUAUACAACUCCCAAACCCACUGUGAACCUUACCUCAGUUGCCUCGGCGGGAACGCCCCGGCCGCCUGCCCCCGCGCCGGCGCCGGACCCAGGCGCCCGCCGCAGGGACCCCAAACUCUCUUGCAUUACGCCCAGCGGGCGGAAUUUCUUCUCUGAGUUGCACAAGCAAAAACAAAUGAAUCAAAACUUUUAACAAUG
RNAcentral lists this unclassified non-coding RNA (240 nucleotides) under soil metagenome. Its description in RNAcentral is "partial contains 5.8S ribosomal RNA, internal transcribed spacer 2, and large subunit ribosomal RNA". The record is from RNAcentral.